GACGAACCGUGCAAACGUUGUUCGGAAUCACUGGGCUUAAAGGGCGCGUAGGCGGCGCGGUAAGUCGCUUGUGAAAUCUCUGAGCUCAACUCAGAACGGCCAAGUGAUACUGCAGUGCUAGAGUGUGGAAGGGGCAAUCGGAAUUCUUGGUGUAGCGGUGAAAUGCGUAGAUAUCAAGAGGAACACCUGAGGUGAAGACGGGUUGCUGGGCCAACACUGACGCUGAGGCGCGAAAGCCAGGGGAGCAAACGGG
RNAcentral lists this ribosomal RNA (253 nucleotides) under uncultured bacterium. Its description in RNAcentral is "partial 16S ribosomal RNA". It matches the Rfam family "Bacterial small subunit ribosomal RNA", at positions 524 to 776 of the family's 1533-position model. The record is from RNAcentral.